This 1130-nucleotide ribosomal RNA is filed under the name Candidatus Phytoplasma fraxini. Its description in RNAcentral is "bacterial SSU rRNA". It matches the Rfam family "Bacterial small subunit ribosomal RNA", at positions 193 to 1336 of the family's 1533-position model. The record is from RNAcentral. Lineage: Bacteria; Bacillati; Mycoplasmatota; Mollicutes; Acholeplasmatales; Acholeplasmataceae.
CCUUUUUCGGAAGGUAUGCUUAAAGAUGAGCUUGCGCCACAUUAGUUUGUUGGUGGGGUAAUGGCCUACCAAGACGAUGAUGUGUAGCUGGACUGAGAGGUCGAACAGCCACAUUGGGACUGAGACACGGCCCAAACUCCUACGGGAGGCAGCAGUAGGGAAUUUUCGGCAAUGGAGGAAACUCUGACCGAGCAACGCCGCGUGAACGAUGAAGUAUUUCGGUAUGUAAAGUUCUUUUAUUGAAGAAGAAAAAAUAGUGGAAAAACUAUCUUGACGUUAUUCAAUGAAUAAGCCCCGGCUAACUAUGUGCCAGCAGCCGCGGUAAGACAUAGGGGGCGAGCGUUAUCCGGAAUUAUUGGGCGUAAAGGGUGCGUAGGCGGUUAGGAAAGUCUAUAAUUUAAUUUCAGUGCUUAACGCUGUCUUGUUAUAGAAACUACCUUGACUAGAGUUAGAUAGAGGCAAGCGGAAUUCCAUGUGUAGCGGUAAAAUGUGUAAAUAUAUGGAGGAACACCAGAAGCGUAGGCGGCUUGCUGGGUCUUGACUGACGCUGAGGCACGAAAGCGUGGGUAGCAAACAGGAUUAGAUACCCUGGUAGUCCACGCCGUAAACGAUGAGUACUAAGUGUCGGGAUAAAACUCGGUACUGAAGUUAACACAUUAAGUACUCCGCCUGAGUAGUACGUACGCAAGUAUGAAACUUAAAGGAAUUGACGGGACUCCGCACAAGCGGUGGAUCAUGUUGUUUAAUUCGAAGAUACACGAAAAAUCUUACCAGGUCUUGACAUGCUCUGCAAAGCUAUAGAAAUAUAGUGGAGGUUAUCAGGGACACAGGUGGUGCAUGGUUGUCGUCAGUUCGUGUCGUGAGAUGUUAGGUUAAGUCCUAAAACGAGCGCAACCCUUGUCGUUAGUUACCAGCACGUAAUGGUGGGCACUUUAACGAGACUGCCAAUUAAACAUUGGAGGAAGGUGAGGAUUACGUCAAAUCAUCAUGCCCCUUAUGAUCUGGGCUACAAACGUGAUACAAUGGCUGUUACAAAGAGUAGCUGAAGCGCGAGUUUUUAGCCAAUCUCAAAAAAGCAGUCUCAGUUCGGAUUGAAGUCUGUAACUCGACUUCAUGAAGUUGGAAUCGCU